GAUGAACGCUGGCGGCGUGCCUAACACAUGCAAGUCGAACGAUGUCCGUAAGGGCAUAGUGGCGCACGGGUGAGGAACACGUAGCUGACCUGCCUCAGAGUGCGGGAUAACGCCCCGAAAGGGGUGCUAAUACCGCGUAAGCUCACCGGGUUUAGAAGCCGGGGAGAAAAGGCCUUCGGGUCGCUUUGAGAGGGGGCUGCGGCGCAUCAGGUAGUUGGUGGGGUAACGGCCUACCAAGCCAACGACGCGUAGGGGGUCUGAGAGGAUGAUCCCCCACACUGGGACUGAGACACGGCCCAGACUCCUACGGGUGGCAG
Molecule: ribosomal RNA, 317 nt
Filed under: uncultured Chloroflexota bacterium
Lineage: Bacteria; Bacillati; Chloroflexota
Description: bacterial SSU rRNA
Rfam family: Bacterial small subunit ribosomal RNA
Source: RNAcentral